AGACAGCUUUCCACAGGCAAGGGGCAUGUGGCAUGUGUCCUGUUAGCAACAGGAAUUGUAACUAGUUUCCAAAAGUUUUAUAUCUUGUAAAUCAGCAUCGGUGUGUACACACACACUUGCACAGGGCUAGAUUUUUGAACAGCGAGGCAAAGUAGAGGCAGUAAAAAAAAAGAUGUCCCACACACUGGGAACCUCGUAAGAACCUGAUACACCUGAAAAAGGCUUGUGUUGUUGAUUGUACCCGCAUUGCCAAUU
This 255-nucleotide long non-coding RNA is filed under the name Crocodylus porosus (Australian saltwater crocodile). RNAcentral's name for it is "lncRNA (ENSCPRG00005004380.1)". Lineage: Eukaryota; Metazoa; Chordata; Crocodylia; Crocodylidae. The record is from RNAcentral.